UUUUUUUUUCAAACAAUUAUUUUCCGUUUUUUUAAAAAAAAAUUCACAUAUUUUAUAUAUAUAUCAGUGCAAUGAGCUUGACAUACUGAUUAAGCAAAAACUGAUAUUAGAAAGUUAGUUAAAUUGAGUUUUUUUUUUGAAUUCAUAUUUAGUUGUUUCUUUUACAUAAAAGAGUUGUAAGAGCGUUGAAAAAAAAUAAUAGACAGAGUUUUAUGCAUCACAAGCGCACACACAUAUAUAUACAUCCUUAUAUUAUACAUCGUAAAUAAAAAAAGCAAAAGAUGGUUUCAUCAGAGUUUGAAAAUAGUAAAAUUAAGCUUCCUUAUGAAAACGAAAUUACGAAACAAAUCGUAAAUAAAAUUUUGGAUAAUUUAAAUGAUAAGCAACAAACGGCAUAUGUUGGAUAUAGCAUGAAUAAAAACCAAAUCGUAAAAUACUUUCAUGAAGCUGAGCAGUUAUUCAUUUAUCAUGACAUUAACAAAUCAGGUGAAAUCGACAUAAAAUUAUUUCCACAAAUGGCUAGACAACUAAAACAAGUUUAUAGUAUAAGAGAUGUUAAAGAAUUUGAAAAAGAAAUGUACAUAAAAAAAAUUGAUAAAAUGAAUUUGCCAAUUUUUUUGACAUUAUUAAAAAGAAGAAUGAAUCAACUUAUUGAUAGUGAUGAAACUUUUUUUAAACAUUUUAAUAUAUUAGAUAUGAAAAAAGAAAACAAAAUUGAUCUUAAAAAAGUAAGUGGUUUUAUUAAAACCGUGGGGGAUAAGGCAAUUUUAAUCAUUAAACAUAUUUUUUUAUUUUUUUUAUUUUCCUGUACUGUAAUUAAAACUUUGUGUUAAUCGAUUUGGGUAUAACUAACAUUUGGGCAAUCAUAAAUAGUUAUUUUUAUGGUUAAGUCUGGUUUGGUACUUGUUUUGUUUUUUAAAUACAAAAAUGCCAAUAUAUCGAAAUAGUUUGG
This is a long non-coding RNA of Piliocolobus tephrosceles (Ugandan red Colobus), 952 nucleotides long. RefSeq lists it as uncharacterized. The transcript is spliced from 4 exons. NCBI's taxonomy places the organism in Eukaryota, Metazoa, Chordata, Mammalia, Primates, Cercopithecidae. The record is from RefSeq and is a predicted model, not a curated record.